This 485-nucleotide ribosomal RNA is filed under the name uncultured bacterium. Its description in RNAcentral is "partial 16S ribosomal RNA". It matches the Rfam family "Bacterial small subunit ribosomal RNA", at positions 28 to 507 of the family's 1533-position model. The record is from RNAcentral.
GAUGAACGCUAGCGGCAGGCCUAAUACAUGCAAGCCAAGGGCUGUUUGGUGUAGCAAGCCAUCAAACAACCGGCGGACGGGUGCGUAACGCGUAUGCAACCUACCCUAUACAGGAGGAUAGCACUCGGAAAAGACGAUUGCUACUCCAUAAGAAUGCUUAGAGGCAUCUUUAAGAAAUUAAAGCCGCGAUGCGGUAUAGGAUGGGCGUGCGUCCGAUUGGCUAGUUGGUGAGUGGAAAGCUAACCAAGGCGAAGAACGGGAGGGGUUAGGAGAGGAAGACGCCCCACACGUGAACUGCGAUCCGGGCCCGACUGCUACGGGAGGCAGCAGUAUGGAAUACUGGACGAUGGGUGAUAGCCUGAUCCAGCCAUGCCGCGUGCAGGAAGAAGGCCCUAUGGGUUGUAAACUGCUUUUGAGAGGGAGAAAUAAGGGCGAUGCGUCGCUCGAUGAUAGUACUUCUCGAAUAAGCAUCGGCUAACUUCGUG